This 253-nucleotide ribosomal RNA is filed under the name uncultured bacterium. RNAcentral describes it as "partial 16S ribosomal RNA". It matches the Rfam family "Bacterial small subunit ribosomal RNA", at positions 524 to 776 of the family's 1533-position model. The record is from RNAcentral.
UACGUAGGGGGCAAGCGUUGUCCGGAUUUAUUGGGCGUAAAGAGCGUGUAGGCGGCCAUGUAGGUCCGUUGUGAAAACUCGAGGCUCAACCUCGAGACGCCGAUGGAAACCAUGUGGCUAGAGUCCGGAAGAGGAGAGUGGAAUUCCUGGUGUAGCGGUGAAAUGCGCAGAUAUCAGGAAGAACACCGGUGGUGUAGACGGCUUUCUGGACCGUAACUGACGCUGAGACACGAAAGCGUGGGUAGCAAACAGG